UUAUUUGACUUGUAAAUCUUUACAGAACCAGCAGUGGCUUCAUCUGAACUCUGUACUGUAACAAUAUGUGGCAAGAACAAAACAGAAAUUAUGACAACAAUGUGCAUCCUCCUUGUGAUUUAUUUAACAAAAUAUGACUUCCCCUUUAAAUUGGACGUCACCAUAAUGUCUUCCAGUCAGGUGUUUUACAAAAAAUAUCACAUCUCAGUUGUAUUGAUUUGCUGUGAAAAUAAAAAGAAGUAGAGAGAGAGAACGAGAGAAAAUCAAGAACCCGAGGCCUCCGGAGAGAGAGAUAGACAGAGAGAGAGAGGGAGGGAGA
Molecule: long non-coding RNA, 319 nt
Organism: Thalassophryne amazonica
Lineage: Eukaryota; Metazoa; Chordata; Actinopteri; Batrachoidiformes; Batrachoididae
Exons: 4
Source: RefSeq, a predicted model, not a curated record